This 497-nucleotide ribosomal RNA is filed under the name uncultured bacterium. RNAcentral describes it as "partial 16S ribosomal RNA". It matches the Rfam family "Bacterial small subunit ribosomal RNA", at positions 28 to 507 of the family's 1533-position model. The record is from RNAcentral.
GAUGAACGCUGGCGGCGUGCCUAAUACAUGCAAGUCGAGCGAACAGACGAGGAGCUUGCUCCUCUGACGUUAGCGGCGGACGGGUGAGUAACACGUGGAUAACCUACCUAUAAGACUGGGAUAACUUCGGGAAACCGGAGCUAAUACCGGAUAAUAUAUUGAACCGCAUGGUUCAAUAGUGAAAGACGGUUUUGCUGUCACUUAUAGAUGGAUCCGCGCCGCAUUAGCUAGUUGGUAAGGUAACGGCUUACCAAGGCAACGAUGCGUAGCCGACCUGAGAGAGUGAUCGGCCACACGGGAGCUGGAACACGGUCCAGACUCCUACGAGAGGCAGCAGUAGGGAAUGUUCCGCAAUGGGCGAGAGCCUGACGGAGCGACGCCACGUGAGUGAUGAAGGUCUUCGGAUCGUAAAACUCUGUUAUUAGGGAAAAACAAAUGUGUAAGUAAAUAUGCACGUCUUGACGGUACCUGGUCAGAAAGCCACGGCUAACUACGUG